Molecule: ribosomal RNA, 402 nt
Filed under: uncultured bacterium
Lineage: Bacteria
Description: bacterial SSU rRNA
Rfam family: Bacterial small subunit ribosomal RNA
Source: RNAcentral
UGGGGAAUAUUGGACAAUGGGGGAAACCCUGAUCCAGCAAUGCCGCGUGAGUGAAGAAGGCCUUAGGGUUGUAAAGCUCUUUCGCCCGCGAAGAUAAUGACGGUAGCGGGAGAAGAAGCCCCGGCUAACUCCGUGCCAGCAGCCGCGGUAAUACGAAGGGUGCAAGCGUUACUCGGAAUUACUGGGCGUAAAGCGUGCGUAGGCGGUCUGUUAAGUCUGCUGUGAAAUCCCCGGGCUCAACCUGGGAAUGGCAGUGGAAACUGGCGGGCUAGAGUACGGUAGAGGAUGGUGGAAUUCCCGGUGUAGCGGUGAAAUGCGUAGAGAUCGGGAGGAACACCAGUGGCGAAGGCGGCCAUCUGAACCAGUACUGACGCUGAGGCACGAAAGCGUGGGGAGCAAACA